GAAGGCAGCCAACAAGGCCUUUACUGACGCUAAAGCUCGAAGGUGCGGGUAUCGAACAGGAUUAGAUACCCUGGUAGUCCGCACGGUAAACGAUGGAUGCCCGCUGUUUGCGAUAUACUGUGAGCGGCCAAGAGAAAUCGUUAAGCAUCCCACCUGGGGAGUACGCCGGCAACGGUGAAACUCAAAGGAAUUGACGGGGGCCCGCACAAGCGGAGGAACAUGUGGUUUAAUUCGAUGAUACGCGAGGAACCUUACCCGGGCUUGAACUGCCAGCGAACGAUUCAGAGAUGAUGAGGUCCUUCGGGACGCUGGUGGAGGUGCUGCAUGGUUGUCGUCAGCUCGUGCCGUGAGGUGUCGGCUUAAGUGCCAUAACGAGCGCAACCCUUUUCUUUAGUUGCCAUCAGGUAAUGCUGGGCACUCUGGAGAUACUGCCACCGUAAGGUGUGAGGAAGGUGGGGAUGACGUCAAAUCAGCACGGCCCUUACGUCCGGGGCUACACACGUGUUACAAUGGGGGGUACAGAGAGUCGGUGCAUGGUAAUGUGCAUCUAAUCCUAAAAGCCUUCCUCAGUUCGGAUUGGGGUCUGCAACCCGACCCCAUG
RNAcentral lists this ribosomal RNA (601 nucleotides) under uncultured bacterium. Its description in RNAcentral is "bacterial SSU rRNA". It matches the Rfam family "Bacterial small subunit ribosomal RNA", at positions 717 to 1322 of the family's 1533-position model. The record is from RNAcentral.